Molecule: ribosomal RNA, 110 nt
Filed under: Huso dauricus
Lineage: Eukaryota; Metazoa; Chordata; Actinopteri; Acipenseriformes; Acipenseridae
Description: partial 12S ribosomal RNA
Source: RNAcentral
GCUUGGAGUGGACAGAAAUGGCCUACAUUUUCUCACAUCAGGAAAUACUCGAAUGACACUGUGAUAUUAGUGAUUGAAGGUGGAGUUAUCAGUCAAUAGAAAAUAGAAAA